Molecule: non-coding RNA, 868 nt
Organism: Odocoileus virginianus texanus
Lineage: Eukaryota; Metazoa; Chordata; Mammalia; Artiodactyla; Cervidae
Source: RefSeq, a predicted model, not a curated record
AUGUUGAAAUGCCCUCCCAUGAAAGAUGGCGGCAGCCGUGCGACAGGAUUUGGCCCAGCUCAUGAAUUCGAGCGGCUCUCAUAAAGAUCUGGCGGGCAAGUAUCGUCAGAUCCUGGAAAAAGCCAUUCAGUUAUCUGGGGCAGAACAACUAGAAGCUUUGAAAGCUUUUGUGGAAUCAAUGGUAAAUGAGAAUGUCAGCCUCGUGAUCUCUCGCCAGUUGCUGACUGAUUUCUGCACCCAUCUCCCUAACCUGCCUGAUAGCACAGCCAAAGAAAUCUAUCAUUUCACCUUGGAAAAGAUCCAGCCUAGAGUCACUUCAUUUGAGGAACAGGUUGCUUCCAUAAGACAGCAUCUUGCAUCCAUAUAUGAAAAAGAAGAAGAUUGGAGAAAUGCAGCCCAAGUGUUGGUGGGAAUUCCUUUGGAAACAGGACAAAAACAGUACAAUGUUGAUUAUAAACUGGAGACCUAUCUGAAGAUUGCUCGGCUAUAUCUGGAGGAUGAUGAUCCAGUCCAGGCAGAGGCUUACAUAAAUCGGGCAUCGUUGCUCCAGAAUGAAUCAACCAAUGAACAGUUACAGAUACAUUAUAAGGUAUGCUAUGCACGUGUUCUUGAUUACAGAAGAAAAUUCAUUGAAGCUGCACAGAGGUACAAUGAACUCUCUUACAAGACAAUAGUGCAUGAAAGUGAAAGACUAGAGGCCUUAAAACAUGCUCUGCACUGUACCAUCUUAGCGUCAGCAGGACAGCAGCGUUCUCGGAUGCUAGCUACUCUUUUUAAGGAUGAAAGGUGCCAGCAGCUUGCUGCUUACGGAAUCCUAGAGAAAAUGUACCUAGAAUGGCACUACAAACUCAGGUUUGCAGCAAAAUAA